RNAcentral lists this ribosomal RNA (903 nucleotides) under Oopsacas minuta. Its description in RNAcentral is "12S ribosomal RNA". The record is from RNAcentral. Lineage: Eukaryota; Metazoa; Porifera; Hexactinellida; Lyssacinosida; Leucopsacidae.
UAAGAGGAUAUCAAAAAAAUGAGAACUUUAGACGUACAUGCUAACUAAAUAGUAAACAAGCGAAAAAACAUUUUAAAUAUAAAUAAAAAAUCAAAUAAACACACACAAGACAUUCGAAUGAAAAUAAUCUAAAGAUCACAUUUAAAAAAGCAACACCUCAUAUUGUGCAAUGUAGAAAAACACAACACAGCAACAAUAAACAAAUAAGAACAAGCAAAGAAUGUGCCAGCAGCCGCGGUCACACAUUUCUGUACUAAUUUUCAGAAAAAAAUUAGUAACAUAGAACAUCACAAAAAACCAGAAAUUUGAACAACUAUCACAAUAGUAAAAUAUUUUAAUAAUAACUCAACACACACUUUCUGAAAGAAAAUUCUUUACACUAAAGCAUAGAAAAUAAAAAGGAUUAGAUACCCUUGUAGCCUAUGCCAUAAAAAAAUAACAAUGAAAAAGUAUGCUCGCAAGACAGAAACUUAAUAAAUUUGAGAGAGUAAGAAAACUCAGGAUGGCGUAUACCUUAAUUCGAAAUUACACGAAAACCUUACCUAAACAAAACAAGUAGAAUAUCUCCACACACUGCUUUUAUAAAAAAAACAUAAAUACUAAUUAUGACAUGUGUCGGUCACCACCCUCUUCAUAUUUAGGGCAAAUAAGCGCCACAAACUAUUAAAACUAAACUUAAUAGUACCUAGCUAAUGAAAAUAAAUAGGGAGAACUUGAAAGUAAUUAUUUUUAAUCAAAAAAUAAUGAAAAAAAUAAUUAAACUGCUACAUACCGCCCGUCAAUUCUCGAAAGAAUAAUAAAUAAUACGAAAAAAAAAUACAUAAUAUAACACUAAAAAUAUUAAAAAAAAUUGAGAAUAAGUCGUAACAAGGUAGCUAUAUCUGAAGAUGUGGCUAAAUAUUA